GGGGUAGUACUGGUUUCGACGGGGGUUUAGAAAUUAUGGCAGCCAUCCGAGGUGAGUGACCUCGUAAAAACAUUCAUAAAAAUAAACGCUGAUAAGAAUAAGUUAGCAUUCGCUGCCUAAGGGCGGCUGUCAGUCUCGCGUCAUCCGCUGCGUGAGGUACUGGCAUCAAAGAGGCGGAGCACUUCCUUGCCAAAGCUUGUAGGCAUGGGAAGAAUUACAAGCUACUGAAAUCAUAAGCCUGUAAAUGGGCGUGUGACGUAGGGAAUGUCAAAACAUUUACUGUGAUGGGAGAUACUGUAAUGGAAGAGCUUUCGGACGUGGGUUCAAUUCCCACCUACUCCA
RNAcentral lists this transfer-messenger RNA (342 nucleotides) under uncultured Eubacterium sp. It matches the Rfam family "transfer-messenger RNA". From Rfam's summary of the family: Bacterial tmRNA, also known as 10Sa RNA or SsrA, is named for its dual tRNA and mRNA-like properties. Its role is to liberate the mRNA from a stalled ribosome. Lineage: Bacteria; Bacillati; Bacillota; Clostridia; Eubacteriales; Eubacteriaceae. The record is from RNAcentral.